AAAUAAGCUCUGCCAUUUCUGCAUCUGAGAGCUCCCGCCUUUUUUCUUCUGUAGCUAUAGCCCUUUUUGUUGUCUUAUCGAAUUUGGGAUUCCCACUGCUAGGCAGCAACAUAAUAAGGAGCAUCAUAAGUUAUAGGCCUCUUUAUCUUGUUUUGCUGACAAGUCUGACACUUGUGCUUGCACGGCUUUUAUUCAAUAAUCAGAGAGGUUUUGAAAGGGCUGUUGGAGGAGAACAUAAUAUACCUUCAACAAGCAAAUACGACUGGGCUGAGCAAGCAGGCAAGGCUUUGGAAGUAGGUUUGGUGAUGCAGAAGGCAAUUGAGGCAGUAUUCAUGGAUUGCAGUGUAUACGUACUAAUUGUAAUUGCUGGCUUUACUUUUGUAAAGUGACUCAACUUCAACUACUUUAUUUUGUAUACAAUUUAUUGCAACAUGUACUAAUUUAUAUUGAUGUUGGAUGGGAUCCAGGUG
This 470-nucleotide unclassified non-coding RNA is filed under the name Hevea brasiliensis (rubber tree). The record is from RNAcentral. Lineage: Eukaryota; Viridiplantae; Streptophyta; Magnoliopsida; Malpighiales; Euphorbiaceae.